UGCGCAGGUGGGCUUGUAAGUCAGUGGUGAAAUACUGCCGCUUAACGGUAGAACUGCCAUUGAUACUGCAAGUCUUGAAUAUGGUUGAGGUAGGCGGAAUGUGUCGUGUAGCGGUGAAAUGCAUAGAUAUGACACAGAACGCCGAUUGCGAAGGCAGCUUACUAAGCCAUUAUUGACGCUGAGGUACGAAAGCGUGGGGAGCGAACAGGAUUAGAUACCCUGGUAGUCC
RNAcentral lists this ribosomal RNA (229 nucleotides) under uncultured bacterium. RNAcentral's name for it is "partial 16S ribosomal RNA". It matches the Rfam family "Bacterial small subunit ribosomal RNA", at positions 568 to 796 of the family's 1533-position model. The record is from RNAcentral.